This 29-nucleotide small RNA is filed under the name Bombyx mori (domestic silkworm). Its description in RNAcentral is "ovarian small RNA-1596". Lineage: Eukaryota; Metazoa; Arthropoda; Insecta; Lepidoptera; Bombycidae. The record is from RNAcentral.
UUACUUCGUCGAAAUGAUGUUUCACGUGC